Molecule: transfer RNA, 62 nt
Filed under: Cavia porcellus (domestic guinea pig)
Lineage: Eukaryota; Metazoa; Chordata; Mammalia; Rodentia; Caviidae
Rfam family: tRNA
About the family: Transfer RNA (tRNA) molecules are approximately 80 nucleotides in length. Their secondary structure includes four short double-helical elements and three loops (D, anti-codon, and T loops).
Source: Rfam by way of RNAcentral
GGGGAUUUAGCUCAGCGGCAUAAGCGCCUGCCUUGCAAGCAGGCAGUCAUGUUCAAUCCCUG